CAGGAUUAGAUACCCUGGUAGUCCACGCCCUAAACGAUGGAUACUAGGCGUAAGAGGUAUCGACCCCUCUUGUGCCGCAGUUAACGCAUUAAGUAUCCCGCCUGAGGACUACGGCCGCAAGGUUGAAACUCAAAUGAAUUGACGGGGACCCGCACAAGCGGUGGAGCAUGUGGAUUAAUUCGAUACUAACCGAAGAACCUUACCCAGGUUUGACAUCGAUCGCAAUCCCUAGAAAUAGGGCCCUCUCCAAAAGAGACGUGAAGACACUUGUUGCAUGGCUGUCGUCAGCUCGUGCCGUGAGGUGUACGGUUAAGUCCGCCAACGAGCGCAACCCUCGUCCUGUGUUACCAGCGAGAAAGUCGGGAACUCACAGGAGACCGCCGGUGUAAGCCGGAGGAAGGUGGGGAUGAUGUCAAGUCAGCAUGGCAGUUACAUCUGGGGCUUCACACAUGCUACAAUGGGCGCACCAAAGGGCAGCAAUACCGCGAGGUGGAGCAAAUCCCAAAAAUACGCCCCCAGUUCAGAUUGCAGUCUGCAACUCGACUGCAUGAAGGCGGAAUUGCUAGUAAACGCAGGUCAGCUAUACUGCGUUGAAUACGUUCCCGGGUCUUGUACACACCGCCCGUCAAGCCACCUGAAUUGUCUUCACCCGAAGUCCGUGGCCUAACCGCAAGGAAGGAGCGGCCGAAGGUGAGGGGGGUAAGGGGGACUAAGUCGUAACAAGGUACCCGUACCGGAAGGUGUGGGUGGAUCACCUCCUUUCUG
Molecule: ribosomal RNA, 765 nt
Filed under: uncultured bacterium
Lineage: Bacteria
Description: bacterial SSU rRNA
Rfam family: Bacterial small subunit ribosomal RNA
Source: RNAcentral